RNAcentral lists this ribosomal RNA (253 nucleotides) under uncultured bacterium. RNAcentral describes it as "partial 16S ribosomal RNA". It matches the Rfam family "Bacterial small subunit ribosomal RNA", at positions 524 to 776 of the family's 1533-position model. The record is from RNAcentral.
UACGUAGGAGGCAAGCGUUGUCCGGAAUUAUUGGGCGUAAAGAGCUCGUAGGCGGCUUGUCGCGUCGGAUGUGAAAGCCCGGGGCUUAACUCCGGGUCUGCAUUCGAUACGGGCAGGCUAGAGUUCGGUAGGGGAGAUCGGAAUUCCUGGUGUAGCGGUGAAAUGCGCAGAUAUCAGGAGGAACACCGGUGGCGAAGGCGGAUCUCUGGGCCGAUACUGACGCUGAGGAGCGAAAGCGUGGGGAGCGAACAGG